This is a long non-coding RNA of Macrobrachium nipponense, 520 nucleotides long. RefSeq lists it as uncharacterized. The transcript is spliced from 3 exons. Lineage: Eukaryota; Metazoa; Arthropoda; Malacostraca; Decapoda; Palaemonidae. The record is from RefSeq and is a predicted model, not a curated record.
ACUCAUAAAUGUACCUAUCAUAGUAUUCGUAGUAAGACCCCGACUGAGUGAGGAAGGUCACCGAACAGCCGCAAUCAUCUGUCCCUGAGUGAAGGAAAGAAGCCCAUCAGAAUAGUUGCUCCCAUACGUAAUGAUUAAAAGGUGUUGUUAUCCGGUACCAUAAAAGCUUUUACUUUUACCGUCACAUUCCCAACUUCCGAUUGAUUGUAUGACAUUGGCGAUGAGUUGUGAAGAUGAGGAUAGUGAGGAAGAACGCAACAGAGGCAUUAAGCCACCACCUACUAGAAGUCCUGGCUCUUGGAUGUUGAUACUGCUUCCCUAAAAUCAGUUGAAAAUCCAAGUAUGGCAAAGAUAUGAAGAAUUUCUCAGCCCUUCAGAAUAGAUUUGAACUGGGAAUCUAUUCCCAUAUUAUGUACUACGAUAACAUUAGAUAGAAAUGGACUUAACUGAGACUGAGAGGUUGGAAAGUUUGCUAAGGUAGACUUUACCUUACGAAAGUCGUGAACACUGGACUGCUGCU